Molecule: long non-coding RNA, 3231 nt
Organism: Orbicella faveolata
Lineage: Eukaryota; Metazoa; Cnidaria; Anthozoa; Scleractinia; Merulinidae
Source: RefSeq, a predicted model, not a curated record
AGGUCCCUCAAUCAGCCAAUUGGAAGGUAACAUUGAAAUAUUGGAGGGCACGGAAUGAUGUAGGUGUCUUUAAGGUGGCAGAAGAGGAGAGCAGCAAUCUCCUCUGCAGCAAGGAAGUCACCAUGGCAACCCAGACACAGCCCACCUCCAGGCACCUGUCAACACAGCACUGUGAAGAAACAGGGUGUGGAAGAUAUACUUUCGUAAGUGGGAAGGAGGGAGACAAAACCAAAGGAGCAAGCAAGCAAAACACUGCGAGCAGAGCACAAUCAUCACAUUGCCCCUGGAACUCCUCCCACUACCCCCCACAUAUCAGAGACUGCUGGGCUGUAUUAGCUUGAUUUUACCUUUACCUAAAUUUCAUUUAGUCCUGUCAAAUUGUCACCAUGGCAGAUAGUACCCUGGGCAUGUCAUGUGGAAGCUUAUAGUUUUGGUGUCUUAGUGAAUCAUCCUAAGAGCUAUCCUGUCUAGGACUGUGGUCUCUGGUAGAUUCAACCAUAUGCAUGUGAUGAUGGACAAGGGAAGGAGGCCUAAUAAGGACAAUUCCUGGCCACCCGGGUUUGCUUUUGGCCAUAGGACAACCCCACCUUGACCCCAUCUUGUAAAAUCCCAAACAAUUGCAGAAACCCCCAAGCGGUCCUUGUGCCAUACUAUACAAAGAGGCACAAAUAAUAUAAAACCGGAUAUCCAAACCUCCUUCGUGGUUGUGAUUUUCUUUGUUUUAACUUGCAAGUGGGGUGGGUGUGGCAGCAGCAGCAUUUACAGUGGUGAUGCAACCCUCUGGAGUAACACAAGGGUUAGUGGCAGCAAAGGCAAGAUUGGCCAAACAGGGCCUCACAAUACCACGCCUGGAGCUAGUCGCCAGUCUCAUGGCCGCAAACUUAGCCACUAACAUAAACGAAAUAUUGGAAGGUCAUCCAGUCGAUCAAGUUUACUGUUGGUUAGACAGUACCGUCACUCUAUUACAUUAUUAGUUUGAGAAGUAACUGUAAUGAACUCUUCUUUCCAGUACUUAAGUUAUGGUUCUUUUUACCCUCAUGCAUGUAUUGUCUACUUUUAGGUAUCCCAUGGUCCUUUUUGACCUGUUAUGAUAUUGCAUUGUUCCUCUCCAUUCCUUCUGUCAUCAUUUUCUUUCUUGUUUUGAGGAGAGAGUUUCUCAGACUAGAUCAGGAAGCACAGUACAGCGUUGUCCGUGGUGAAGUUGAUUCUCUGUACUCAGUACACUCUCAGUCAACGGAUCAGAGUUAAAUGUGUUGGCAGUGUCCUGAUGUGACAGUAGAUUUCUGUGAACAAAUACUGGAUGAACUAAACAUGUUUAGUAAGAUACCAACUUUCAAGGUCGUUACUAGUGGUUAAUUCAUAAGCAGUCAUUACACAAUUGUCUGCUAUGAUUUGUUGUAUGAAUGAAACUGUUUUUCCAUUGAUUUGAAGAACUCUAUUUUAGGUAAACAUUAAGAUUAGACAAACCUUACAAGUUAAAGGAACUUGUUAGACACAAUUAAUGUAAAAUUGAAUGAAAUUCUACAAAAUGGUGUUCUUAAUAACUUAGACAAGUACCUCCCAAAAAUGAAAUUACUCCUCCAUUUAUGAAAAAAUAUUAAUAACAAUUUAGAGGACAGUUUUGGGGCCCUGUGCUUUAUUUGUAGCUUGAUCCAGUUAAACUACACUUUCAUUUACAUUUUCCUGCAGACAUUUCACUAUGAAAUUUUGUUUUCUCGUCAUUCGUCACUAAACUAAUGGUAAAUCUUAUUUUGAGCACAAUUUUUUUAAACAUAGUUUUAGACAUAUUUUAAACAAUGAUAGUUGCAAAAUACCACAAAUAGUUAUACCAUCCAAUCUUUUCAAAAUCCUUAGUGCUUUUUUAGUAGCUUACAAUAAUAAAUAAAAAUAAAAAAUAAAAAAUAAUGGCUGUUUUCAGCUGACCUCUGGCCAAGCUCUGCAUGGAUUCAUAUUUUUGGGGAUGGAACAGUAGGUGUGGUGGGCAAUGCGGCUUUGCCCUGAGCUGGUGGCGCAUACCUCCAGUCUAAAAUGUACAUGUAAGGGGAGUUGUGGAACCAGGUGCAUGUUAUAUUGUUUAGUCUACAGUUAUCCAUGCUUGCUUGGUGCUAUUUGUCAGUGGGCCUCAUAAUUUUAUUACAUAAUUAUGUAAUUAUACAAUGUAGUAUGUCCACUUCGUUAGCUACAUUCAAACUUCUCCACAAUGGCCACCCAAGGGACAAAGGAAAGUGGCCAUUGUGGAGAGGUGGUUGUUGUUGGGAGUUAGGGGUGUAAAAUGGCACUCGUUUUUUUUAUGGCAGGUGCAACAUUACUGUUAUUGUAUGUAACAGAAUCAAAAUAAUCAAUGAUACAGAAACCAAACAGAAACAGAGACCAACAUUGUGCGAUCCAGAUCAAAUUUCAUGACUUUUUGCAUUACAAAAUGGAGUUUUGCAAACACAGUUGUCAGUCGUUGUAUAACUGGCCAUUGUCAAGAGGUUAUUUUGGCAUUUGGGACUUGCUUCAGUGGCUGUUGCCAUUGUAGAGAGGCUUUAUAAAAGUGAAUGUAUUGACUGUCUGCUGGGACAAAAAAGAAGUGGCUGUUGUAGAUAGGUGGCUGUUACUGGAGGUUUGCCUGUAUUUAGAAUACCACACCCCGAGAAUAGUUGGUUGUAGCUAACUGGAUAGUUGCUUGCUCAAAUAGACUUAAUAUUUUUAGUAAUACCUUAGCUGGUAAAAGGAGUUUAUUCACAAACUUUAACUCUGGUUUGUUUUUUACUUUGAUUAAUUUCAUUUGUAAACCCUCUUGGCCUGUUUGGCAUACAAUGUCAGUAAUGAUAUUAUUGCCACAAAGGACUAUAUUUGCUUUGUGGUGGAUUUUGUGCUUAAAAAUCCUGGUCAAUUACAUGCAAUAUUCAAAAUUUUCACAUUUUUAAUCUGAACUUAUUCAAAUAUUGAUUCAAAUAAUUCCUUAAGUAUUGAUAGACUAGUAUAUUUCUUGUAACAAAUGGAGUAUUGCACAACUUUAAAUUAAAACUAUGUACACCUGAAGUUAUCAUAGAUCAUGAUUUACAUUUCUUUAAUUUGGAUAAUUUUUCUGUUUAAUAUAUACUUCUUCACUUCCACCACUUUUGCAAAUGUUUUUUGUUUCUAGUGCAAGAUGAUAAGGCAAGUUAAUAGCAAGAAUCCUACAAUGCAAUGCAAACAAAUGAUCAAUAUUUUAGCUGGCACAGCUCCAGGAAAAAAAAAAAAAAA